GAUGAACGCUGGCGGCGUUCCUAAUACAUGCAAGUAGAACGCUGAAGCUUGGUGCUUGCACCGAGCGGAUGAGUUGCGAACGGGUGAGUAACGCGUAGGUAACCUGCCUGGUAGCGGGGGAUAACUAUUGGAAACGAUAGCUAAUACCGCAUAAAAGUCGAUAUCGCAUGAUGUUGACUUGAAAGGUGCAAUUGCAUCACUAAGAGAUGGACCUGCGUUGUAUUAGCUAGUUGGUGAGGUAACGGCUCACCAAGGCGACGAUACAUAGCCGACCUGAGAGGGUGAUCGGCCACACUGGGACUGAGACACGGCCCAGACUCCUACGGGAGGCAGCAGUAGGGAAUCUUCGGCAAUGGGGGCAACCCUGACCGAGCAACGCCGCGUAAGUGAAGAAGGUUUUCGGAUCGUAAGGCCCUGUUGUAAGUGAAGAACGAGUGUGAGAGUGGAAAGUUCACACUGUGACGGUAACUUACCAGAAAGGGACGGCUAACUACGUGC
RNAcentral lists this ribosomal RNA (498 nucleotides) under uncultured Streptococcus sp. Its description in RNAcentral is "bacterial SSU rRNA". It matches the Rfam family "Bacterial small subunit ribosomal RNA", at positions 28 to 508 of the family's 1533-position model. The record is from RNAcentral. Lineage: Bacteria; Bacillati; Bacillota; Bacilli; Lactobacillales; Streptococcaceae.